GCCGCCUUAGCUCAGUGGUAGAGCACCUCCAUGGUAAGGAGGGGGUCUCGGGUUCAAGUCCCGAAGGUGGCUCCA
RNAcentral lists this transfer RNA (75 nucleotides) under Candidatus Saccharimonadota bacterium. RNAcentral describes it as "tRNA-Thr". It matches the Rfam family "tRNA". From Rfam's summary of the family: Transfer RNA (tRNA) molecules are approximately 80 nucleotides in length. The record is from RNAcentral. Lineage: Bacteria; Candidatus Saccharimonadota.